This 493-nucleotide ribosomal RNA is filed under the name uncultured Sphingobacteriales bacterium. RNAcentral's name for it is "bacterial SSU rRNA". It matches the Rfam family "Bacterial small subunit ribosomal RNA", at positions 883 to 1382 of the family's 1533-position model. Lineage: Bacteria; Pseudomonadati; Bacteroidota; Sphingobacteriia; Sphingobacteriales. The record is from RNAcentral.
CCAGCCCGCUCAGAACUCAAAGGAAUUGACGGGGCCGCACAAGCGGUGGAGCAUGUGGUUUAAUUCGAUGAUACGCGAGGAACCUUACCUGGGCUCAAAUGUAUGUUGACGUAUUCUGAAAGGGAUACUUCUUCGGACAAUAUACAAGGUGCUGCAUGGUUGUCGUCAGCUCGUGCCGUGAGGUGUCGGGUUAAGUCCCAUAACGAGCGCAACCCCUAUCAUUAGUUGCCAUCAGGUCAAGCUGGGGACUCUAAUGAAACUGCCUACGCAAGUAGUGAGGAAGGUGGGGAUGACGUCAAAUCAGCACGGCCCUUACGUCCAGGGCUACACACGUGCUACAAUGGCCGGUACAAAGGGCAGCUACCUGGUGACAGGAUGCAAAUCUCCAAAGUCGGUCUCAGUUCGGAUCGGAGUCUGCAACCCGACUCCGUGAAGUUGGAUUCGCUAGUAAUCGCGCAUCAGCCAUGGCGCGGUGAAUACGUUCCCGGGCCUU